This 406-nucleotide ribosomal RNA is filed under the name uncultured bacterium. Its description in RNAcentral is "partial 16S ribosomal RNA". It matches the Rfam family "Bacterial small subunit ribosomal RNA", at positions 30 to 526 of the family's 1533-position model. The record is from RNAcentral.
AUUGAACGCUGGCGGCAUGCCUAACACAUGCAAGUCGAGCGCGUGGCGGACGGGUGAGUAAUGUCUGGGAACCUGCCCGAUGGCGGGGGAUAACUCCUGGAAACGGUGGCUAAUACCGCAUACCAUUCGCUUUGCCCUGAUUGGAUUAGCUAGUAGGUGGGGUAAAGGCUCACCAAGGCCACGAUCCCUAGCUGGUCUGCGAGGAUGACCAGCCACACUGGAACUGAGACACGGUCCAGACUCCUACGGGAGGCAGCAGUGGGGAAUCUUGCACAAUGGGCGAAAGCCUGAUGCAGCAAUGCCGCGUGUAUGAUGAAGGCCUUCGGGUUGUAAAGUACUGUUAGCGGGGAAGCGGUACCCGCAGAAGAAGCACCGGCUAACUACGUGCCAGCAGCCGCGGUAAUUC